Molecule: non-coding RNA, 327 nt
Organism: Vicia faba (fava bean)
Lineage: Eukaryota; Viridiplantae; Streptophyta; Magnoliopsida; Fabales; Fabaceae
Source: the annotation of a GenBank genome assembly
AUGGGAGAAGUCCGACGAAAGGUGCGGCUGUGGGAGGCAAGGAUGGAGGAGUUUGGCAGUGGAUCUACUUCCGGUGGUGUCAGUGUUGCUAACUUGAUUUGCGCGGGGCUAUGUUAUUUUGCAACUAUUGGUGUGAGGUUGUUAUUGUUUUUGUUGGUACGAAGGUUUUGGAGUAGCAACACAAGGGCUUUGAUGCAUGAUUUAUGCAACAGUGACAGGGCUGUUUUUUGUAGGGCUUUUGGACUGUAUAUGAGGUUCUUUUAUGAAGGAUUUGAGAGCAGGGCAACAACUAUUAGUGCAGGGCUAGACAACAAUAUGUUGGACUGA